RNAcentral lists this ribosomal RNA (404 nucleotides) under uncultured bacterium. RNAcentral's name for it is "partial 16S ribosomal RNA". It matches the Rfam family "Bacterial small subunit ribosomal RNA", at positions 28 to 526 of the family's 1533-position model. The record is from RNAcentral.
GAUGAACGCUGACAGAAUGCUUAACACAUGCAAGUCAACUGUGGCGGACGGGUGAGUAACGCGUAAAGAACUUGCCUCACAGCUAGGGACAACAUUUGGAAACGAAUGCUAAUACCUGAUACUGUGAGAGAGCUUUGCGUCCCAUUAGCAAGUUGGGGAGGUAACGGCUCACCAAGGCGAUGAUGGGUAGCCGGCCUGAGAGGGUGAUAGGCCACAAGGGGACUGGGAAACGGCCCUUACGGAUACGGGAGGCAGCAGUGGGGAAUAUUGGACAACAGACCAAAGUCUGAUGAAGCCAUUCGGUGUGCACGAUGAAUUUGUCGGAAUGUAAAGUGCUUUGAGUUGGGAAGCGGUACCAACAGAAGAAGUGACGGCUAAAUACGUGCCAGCAGCCGCGGUAAUUC